UACAGAGGGGGCAAGCGUUGUUCGGAAUUACUGGGCGUAAAGGGCGCGUAGGCGGCCUUCUAAGUCGAACGUGAAAUCCCUGGGCUCAACCCAGGAACUGCGUCCGAUACUGGAAGGCUUGAAUCCGGGAGAGGGAUGCGGAAUUCCAGGUGUAGCGGUGAAAUGCGUAGAUAUCUGGAGGAACACCGGUGGCGAAGGCGGCAUCCUGGACCGGUAUUGACGCUGAGACGCGAAAGCGUGGGGAGCGAACAGG
RNAcentral lists this ribosomal RNA (253 nucleotides) under uncultured bacterium. RNAcentral's name for it is "partial 16S ribosomal RNA". It matches the Rfam family "Bacterial small subunit ribosomal RNA", at positions 524 to 776 of the family's 1533-position model. The record is from RNAcentral.